Molecule: long non-coding RNA, 232 nt
Filed under: Bos taurus (domestic cattle)
Lineage: Eukaryota; Metazoa; Chordata; Mammalia; Artiodactyla; Bovidae
Description: long non-coding RNA NONBTAT005820
Source: RNAcentral
CUCUCCCUUUUCUCCCUACACACAUAUAGUAGAAUUCAGAGAAGUUAAAUGGACCUAGAGGUGAUUCCAUGGCACAGUCACUGGCAAAGAAGUGACCUAUCAAUCACUUAUUGAGUGAAUUAUGAAAUCUGUGGUUCAGAAGUGGUAAGGGUGAAAUAGAGGAGGAAGAUUAUCUGAUAACAGUACUUGCCUAACACUGUUAAGAUUUAAAAAAUAAACCUGAUGUCUAAUA